AGCAUGAUUCUAGCUUGCUAGAAUGAUGGCGACCGCGCGACGGGUGAGUAACGCGUACUCCAACCUUCCCUAUAGUAGAGGAUAGCCCGGCGAAAGUCGGAUUAAUACUCUAUGUUGUUCAAUGCGGACAUCUAAGUUGAACCAAAGGUUUACCGCUAUAGGAUGGGGAUGCGUCUGAUUAGAUGGGUAGGCGGGGUAACGGCCCACCUAGUCGACGAUCAGUAGGGGUUCUGAGAGGAAGGUCCCCCACAUUGGAACUGAGACACGGUCCAAACUCCUACGGAGGCAGCAGUGAGGAAUAUUGGUCAAUGGGCGAGAGCCUGAACCAGCCAAGUAGCGUGCAAGGAUGACGGCCCUAUGGGUUGUAAACUGUCUUUUAUAUAGGGAUAAAGUGCACCACGUGUGGUGUUUUGUAGGUACUAUAUGAAUAAGGACCGGCUAAUUCCGUGCCAGCCGCUGC
This 460-nucleotide ribosomal RNA is filed under the name uncultured bacterium. RNAcentral's name for it is "bacterial SSU rRNA". It matches the Rfam family "Bacterial small subunit ribosomal RNA", at positions 66 to 518 of the family's 1533-position model. The record is from RNAcentral.